AGCCAGUACGGCGAGUGAACAGGCAAGAGCUCAGAUUUGAAAGGCACUUUUGUGCCGUUGUAUUCUGAAGUUAGGGUCCUGAGAAACGAUGCUUAAGUCUUCUGGAAAGGAGCGCCAUGGAGGGUGAUAGCCCCGUCUAGCAUUGACCUCAUAUAGGAUCUUAACAUGGAGUCGAGUUGUUUGGGAAUGCAGCUCAAAUGGGUGGUAUGCUCCAUCUAAAGCUAAAUAUCUGCGAGAGACCGAUAGUAAACAAGUACUGUGAGGGAAAGAUGAAAAGAACUUUGAAAAGAGAGUGAAAAAGUACGUGAAAUUGUUGAAAUGGAAGGGUAGGCCGCUAACCAUGUAGAGCCGUGUUUGGGGGGAAGAUAAAUGCUGUAGAAUGUAGCUCCUCGGAGUAUUAUAGAUGCAGUUCAUAUUCCCACCCGAGCGCGAGGAUCUCAGGUUCUACUAAAUGGUGGUCUACCACCCGUCUUGAAACACGGACC
Molecule: ribosomal RNA, 485 nt
Filed under: Starmerella bacillaris
Lineage: Eukaryota; Fungi; Ascomycota; Dipodascomycetes; Dipodascales; Trichomonascaceae
Description: partial large subunit ribosomal RNA
Rfam family: Eukaryotic large subunit ribosomal RNA
Source: RNAcentral